AGACUUUGAUUCUGGCUCAGAACGAACGCUGGCGGCAUGCUUAACACAUGCAAGUCGAACGAUCCUUUCGGGGAUAGUGGCGGACGGGUGAGUAACGCGUGGGAACCUGCCCCGAGGUACGGAGUAACCCAGGGAAACUUGGGCUAAUACCGUAUGUGACCUGAGGGUGAAAGAUUUAUCGCCUUGGGAGGGGCCCGCGUCGGAUUAGGUAGUUGGUGGGGUAAUGGCCUACCAAGCCUGCGAUCCGUAGCUGGUCUGAGAGGAUGAUCAGCCACACUGGAACUUAGACACGGUCCAGACUCCUACGGGAGGCAGCAGUGGGGAAUAUUGGACAAUGGGGGCAACCCUGAUCCAGCAAUGCCGCGUGCGUGAUGAAGGCCUUAGGGUUGUAAAGCGCUUUCGGCGGGGAAGAUGAUGACGGUACCCGCAGAAGAAGCCCCGGCUAACUCCGUGCCAGCAGCCGCGGUAAUACGGAGGGGGCUAGCGUUGUUCGGAAUUACUGGGCGUAAAGGGCGCGUAGGCGGCGGUUUAAGUUAGGCGUGAAAGCCCCGGGCUUAACCUGGGAACUGCAGCUUGAUACUGGAUCGCUUGAGGACGGGAGAGGGUACGUGGAAUUCCCAGUGUAGAGGUGAAAUUCGUAGAUUUGGGAAGAACACCAGUGGC
This 663-nucleotide ribosomal RNA is filed under the name uncultured bacterium. RNAcentral describes it as "bacterial SSU rRNA". It matches the Rfam family "Bacterial small subunit ribosomal RNA", at positions 8 to 716 of the family's 1533-position model. The record is from RNAcentral.